AAAAUCACAAUAUAAACUAAGGUCCGACCGAGAACGAUAUUUUUGUCUCGGCCGAGAACGAGACCGAGACCGAGAUUCCAUUUGAUUCUCGGCCGAGACCGAGACCGAGACCGAGAAUUUGUAAAACAGUGAAAAGACAUGCCAUUUUUACAAAAAAAUGUUUUCAUAAUCGAAAUUCGACUAUUAAUCAGGAAACCAAGAGCAUGUCGGGCCCCGCUUAGUGUUUGGUUCCGUAACUACCCAAACCUACCGCACCCCUUACCUAUCUAUCGUAGCAA
Long non-coding RNA from Leguminivora glycinivorella, 278 nucleotides. RefSeq lists it as uncharacterized. Lineage: Eukaryota; Metazoa; Arthropoda; Insecta; Lepidoptera; Tortricidae. The record is from RefSeq and is a predicted model, not a curated record. The transcript is spliced from 3 exons.